This 381-nucleotide ribosomal RNA is filed under the name uncultured eukaryote. Its description in RNAcentral is "mitochondrial SSU rRNA". It matches the Rfam family "Bacterial small subunit ribosomal RNA", at positions 524 to 907 of the family's 1533-position model. The record is from RNAcentral.
UACGAAGGGGGGCUAGUGUUAUCCAAAAUGACUGGGCGUAAAGAGUAUUUAGACGGCUUUAAAUGCCCCUUGUAAAAAUAUAAAUUUAUUGUUUAUAAUUGCAUUUGGUACAUAGUGCUUGAGUAAAGUAAAGGGCAGUAGAAUUUUAUUGUUAGGGUUGAAAUCCAAUGAGCAUUGAAGGAAUUCCUGUGGCUGAUGCGGCUGCCUAGGCUUAAACUGACGUUGUUAGACGAAGGCUUGGGGAUCAAACAGGUUUUGAUAUCCUGGUAGUCCGAGCUGUCAAAGAUGAGUGUUAACGUUGGGUGUACUGCCUGGCGUACAGCUAACGCGUUAAACGCUCCGCCUGAGGAGUACGACGCUAACAUUGUUGGAACUCAAAGG